This 3327-nucleotide long non-coding RNA is filed under the name Equus asinus (donkey). Its description in RNAcentral is "lncRNA (ENSEASG00005027460.1)". The record is from RNAcentral. Lineage: Eukaryota; Metazoa; Chordata; Mammalia; Perissodactyla; Equidae.
AAAAAUUUUAUAGAAAACUUCAAAAUAAUUGUACUUCAUUGACCUAUGUUUUGUCUUAAAAUCUUUCGUUUUGAGUUAUGUUAUUUAGGGGGAGGGCUAUUAAAGUGUUCUCUCUCCCCACAUAUAAUGCGUUUUAGAUCUCCCGCAUUUUUUCCUGGAUAUUUAUCGGGAGAUGGUAGAGAGAUUUGGUAAGUAAUACAGUUUGAUUUUUAUGUCUCAAGGAUUUCUCCUAUAGUCACAUAUUUGAGUUUUGUUUAUUCUGGUCUUUUUUUUCCUGAUGGUUCUAUUUGCAGUAUUAACUGAAAAUCCUUGUGCUAAUGCUAAUUUUGAUCUUUUUUUUCACUAGCAUGUAUUGGAGCACUCAGACUUGACGAAGGACAUAGCUGUUAAGAUAGAUAAUGGUUAUUGCAAACUGCACGUUUUUAAAUGGUCUCCAGUGCGGACUGCUGAGCCAGUGAUGGAAUGAGCACGUUGAGGAAGAAUAUGUCAUUUGGAAUCCAGAACCAUUCAGCAAGGAUAACUGCCUGAUGUAUGGUCAGAAUGCUCAAACACUGAUGGCGUAUCGAUGGCUUUCUCUUCCAUUCCCCUAAAAAGCAAGUUUUGUCAGCCUCAGAGUGCCCCUAAUCUAGCUCUUCUCAUUUCCAGACCUAGUUCUGUCACUUUUGGGUGUCAAAGGGAAUUGAAGUGUCAGUGUAUGAGUAUAGCAAACUUACUUAAUGAUUGAUAGGAAGCAAAUAAAAAGAAUUUUGUUUGCUAAGUACUUGAAGUGUAGAAAGUUUUGGUUUUCAGUUUAUUUUGCAAAGCAUAAAGACAUUUCCUGGUUGUUAAUUCCACGUGAAUUAUUCAAUAUUUUUUCUCUCUCUAAGUUAAUUUUAAUGCUAAUUUCCUAUGGUAACUGACAAAGCAAUUGAAUGGAAUAAGCCUUAUCUUUUAAAGUUUGUACUGAUGGUAUUCAGAUAAAGUUCACUUUUUUCCCCAGUUUAAGUGGUAUGUAAAUAAAAUACCCAUUUCAAAUUUGACAAAUUAGAAAAUCACUUGGAACGAUUUCCCAGUACAGUCAUGUGUCGCUUAACGAUGGGGAUAGGUUCUUAGAAAUGCAUGGUUAGGUGAUUUCAUCGUUGUGCGAACAUCAGGGAGUAGUGUACCUGCACAAACCUAGAUGGUGCAGCCUACUGCACGUGGAAGCUGUCUGGCACUGAUCUUAUGGGACCAUCAUACAUGCGGUCCAUCAUUAACCAAAAUGUCAUUAUGUGGUGCAUGACUGUAUUUUUUAUUUCAUUUUUUAGAAUUGUUUUUCCUUUACACAUUUAUACUGCAAAACAAAUCGAGGAUGCAGACUCAGACUAAACUGGUCAACUUGUGUUUGGUCUUCAUGGGAAUUACAUCUUUUUUUCACCCAACGUUUAUUAAAGAAACAAAAUUUUAGGCUAUAGCAAACUAAUACGUUUAUCUUAACUAAGAGCUGAAUUUCAUUAAGGAACAGACCAUGUAAUUCCGUUCCACAUGCUUUAAAGUAUGACUCAUCCCUUUUAAAGUUGUGAGACUCAAAACCACGCCCAUAUCACUUAAUUUUAUGUCCUUCCCUGUUUACUGUGUCUGACCUUCAAGAUCUCGUGACUGAUGCUGAAAUGGAAGCCAACCAGUGCAGAAAUUUGGGGGAAAAUGAAUCUGAAGAAAGCAAGGGGAAGUAGGAAUUCAUUUCUAGCAUUCCCAAAACCUGCUUUUGUCGUGUCAACUCCACUGCAGUCAGAGGAAAAGAACUGAGUUCAUGGAAAUUACCAGCUAAGCCUUACAUCUGUAUUUAAUGUUUUAGGAAAUACACUGAAAAGGUAAGUGAGAUGUCUGUUUUGAAAAAAGACUAUUAGAUAUUUUAAAGCCAAAUAUUCCAUAUUAGUAAAGAUGGACAGCUUCUUUAUUCUGAGCUUCAGAAAGGCUCGCCCCCAUUUGGAGUGGUUCUCAGUAUUUUGGAGAAGGUGGAGUUGUUGCAGCCAAUAUGGAGUCUUCCUCUGCUUCUCAGCAGUUAAGCUGGAAUUUGCAUUGAAGUGUACAAAAUGCCAAUUUUUGUUGUUUUGUGCUCAAAUCCUUUCUUAAGUUAUAUUUGCAUUAUAUGUAGUCAAAACUGCGUUUUUAGAGGUUUCUGUUAAUGUCCACACAUAGUGGUUUUUUAGAUAAUUUUUAAAUUAUUAGGAUUAAAUUAUUCCACAUUUAUUACACACCUACGUAAUACACAUUGUGCCAGGCCCUGGAACACACAGAUGGACUAGCACACAGUUCAUGUCCUCAAGGAGUUCAUUUUUAUUGAUACAGUAGAGAGAGAAUUCUAGUUUAGGGAUUCAAUCUAAUAAAAUGGAGGCUAAUUCCACUCCCUCAUCAAAAAUCCACUCUAACAUGUUAAUCUGAAUGUGACAGAUUCUAUUUGAAAGAUCCUGCGCAUGUGUGCAUGCACGUGUGUGUGAGUGUGUGUGAGAGAGACAUUUACUAAGCACUUCUACGUGCCAGGUACUGUUGUAAGCUCUUUACAUAUAUGUAUUUUUUAAAUCCUCAUUGCUAUUCUAUAAAAUAGGUGCUAUUAGUAGCACAUUUUCUAAGUCAUUAAGGAAGACAGGUUAAUUAACUUGCCCAAGUUUGCACAACUAUGAUCCUGGACCAAUAUUUUAACCCAGACAGGCUCCUUAUAGAGCCUGUGCUCUUAAUUUGGGUGUGAUAUUUAUAUGUAGUACCUGGCUGUGAGUACCCAUAAAACAUUCCAAAAUGUUAAUAAAAUUUGCCUAGUUUUAAAAAAGGAAAGUUCCAAUAACAUAGAAAGAUUAUAGAUAUAAUAGUAGUCAAACCCUUUAGAAAACUAAAAAUUGCGUUUUUCCAACUCCUGGCUCCAAGACAGUCCUUUUGCAUGAUGACCUCCUCUGGCCCCCAGUGGUGUGCAUGCCUAGACACACAGUUCAAAGUGCUGGAACAGAGAGGCAGAGCUUAUCACGGUUCUAUUUUAUAUUCAGUACCUGUUGCCCCUUCAGUCCACCCCUCUUUCUUUUUGAAAUGUGGGUAUUGCUUUAGCUGCUAAAUCAUGAGAAAAUAUGACUGCUGAGACGUUCCCUAGUAUUCUUAAAAGAAUAGGUUAGACUCUGUGCAGAAGUAAAGAAAAACUGCUCUGAGAACCCCAGGUAGGUAAUUUACUCCCUAUUGUAUGCAUAAUUUAUUCAAAGUCUCUGCUCUUCUAUUCUCUGUUUUAUAUUUUUGUAAAUCUGAUUGACCUUUAAUAAACUGUUUUCUGAAGUGAUGGUUUCUUUGGUCUCAUUUCCCAUUUGAUUGUGUAUCUCCUUUGGUCCCUUU